This 497-nucleotide ribosomal RNA is filed under the name uncultured bacterium. Its description in RNAcentral is "partial 16S ribosomal RNA". It matches the Rfam family "Bacterial small subunit ribosomal RNA", at positions 28 to 507 of the family's 1533-position model. The record is from RNAcentral.
GAUGAACGCUGGCGGCGUGCCUAAUACAUGCAAGUCGAGCGAACAGACGAGUAUCUUGCUCCUCUGACGUUAGCGGCGGACGGGUGAGUAACACGUGGAUAACCUACCUCUAAGACUUGGAUAACUUCGGGAAACCGUAGCUAAUACCGGAUAAUAUAUUUAACCGCAUGGUUCAAUAGUGAAAGACGGUUUUGCUGUCACUUAUAGAUGGAUCCGCGCCUCAUUAGCUAGUUGGUAAGGUAACGGCUUACCAAGGGAACGAUGCGUAGCCGACGUGAGAGGGUGAUCGCGCACACUGGAACUGAGACACGGUCCAGACUCCUACGGGAGGCAGAAGUAGGGAAUCUUCCGAGAUGGGCGGAAGCCUGACGGAGCGACGCAGCGUGAGUGAUGCAGGUCUUCGGAUCGUAAAACGCUGUUAUUAGGGAAGAACAAAUGUGUAAGUAACGAUGCAUGGUGUGACGGUACCGAAUCAGAAAGCAACGGCUAACUACGUG